AGGGUUUGAUCAUGGCUCAGGAUGAACGCUAGCGGCAGGCUUAACACAUGCAAGUCGAGGGGUAUAGUAGCAAUACUAGAGACCGGCGCACGGGUGCGUAACGCGUAUGCAAUCUACCUUUUGCAGAGGGAUAGCCCAGAGAAAUUUGGAUUAAUACCUCAUAGUAUAUAGAGUUGGCAUCAACAUUAUAUUAAAGUCACAACGGCAAAAGAUGAGCAUGCGUCCCAUUAGCUAGUUGGUAAGGUAACGGCUUACCAAGGCAACGAUGGGUAGGGGUCCUGAGAGGGAGAUCCCCCACACUGGUACUGAGACACGGACCAGACUCCUACGGGAGGCAGCAGUGAGGAAUAUUGGACAAUGGGCGCAAGCCUGAUCCAGCCAUGCCGCGUGCAGGAUGACGGUCCUAUGGAUUGUAAACUGCUUUUAUACGAGAAGAAACAUCCCGACGUGUCGGGACUUGACGGUAUCGUAAGAAUAAGGAUCGGCUAACUCCGUGCCAGCAGCCGCGGUAAUACGGAGGAUCCAAGCGUUAUCCGGAAUCCUUGGGUUUAAAGGGUCC
RNAcentral lists this ribosomal RNA (559 nucleotides) under uncultured Flavobacteriia bacterium. RNAcentral's name for it is "bacterial SSU rRNA". It matches the Rfam family "Bacterial small subunit ribosomal RNA", at positions 8 to 570 of the family's 1533-position model. Lineage: Bacteria; Pseudomonadati; Bacteroidota; Flavobacteriia. The record is from RNAcentral.